GCAGGCUGCAACUCGCCUGCAUGAAGUCAGAAUUGCUAGUAAUCGCGGAUCAGCAUGCCGCGGUGAAUACGUUCCCGGGCCUUGUACACACCGCCCGUCACACCAUGGGAGUCGGUAACACCCGAAGCCGAUAGUCUAACGAAAGAGGACGUCGUCGAAGGUGGGAUUGAUGACUGGGGUGAAGUCGUAACAAGGUACC
This 199-nucleotide ribosomal RNA is filed under the name uncultured bacterium. RNAcentral describes it as "partial 16S ribosomal RNA". It matches the Rfam family "Bacterial small subunit ribosomal RNA", at positions 1300 to 1500 of the family's 1533-position model. The record is from RNAcentral.